AACGCUAGCUACAGGCUUAACACAUGCAAGUCGAGGGGCAGCAUGGUCUUAGCUUGCUAAGGCCGAUGGCGACCGGCGCACGGGUGAGUAACACGUAUCCAACCUGCCGUCUACUCUUGGACAGCCUUCUGAAAGGAAGAUUAAUACAAGAUGGCACCAUGAGUCCGCAUGUUCACAUGAUUAAAGGUAUUCCGGUAGACGAUGGGGAUGCGUUCCAUUAGAUAGUAGGCGGGGUAACGGCCCACCUAGUCUUCGAUGGAUAGGGGUUCUGAGAGGAAGGUCCCCCACAUUGGAACUGAGACACGGUCCAAACUCCUACGGGAGGCAGCAGUGAGGAAUAUUGGUCAAUGGGCGAGAGCCUGAACCAGCCAAGUAGCGUGAAGGAUGACUGCCCUAUGGGUUGUAAACUUCUUUUAUAAAGGAAUAAAGUCGGGUAUGGAUACCCGUUUGCAUGUACUUUAUGAAUAAGGAUCGGCUAACUCCGUGCCAGCAGCCGCGGUAAUACGGAGGAUCCGAGCGUUAUCCGGAUUUAUUGGGUUUAAAGGGAGCGUAGAUGGAUGUUUAAGUCAGUUGUGAAAGUUUGUGGCUCAACCGUAAAAUUGCAGUUGAUACUGGAUAUCUUGAGUGCAGUUGAGGCAGGCGGAAUUCGUGGUGUAGCGGUGAAAUGCUUAGAUAUCACGAAGAACUCCGAUUG
RNAcentral lists this ribosomal RNA (694 nucleotides) under uncultured bacterium. Its description in RNAcentral is "bacterial SSU rRNA". It matches the Rfam family "Bacterial small subunit ribosomal RNA", at positions 32 to 715 of the family's 1533-position model. The record is from RNAcentral.